Pristionchus pacificus is the source of this 77-nucleotide non-coding RNA. The record is from Rfam. NCBI's taxonomy places the organism in Eukaryota, Metazoa, Nematoda, Chromadorea, Rhabditida, Neodiplogasteridae.
UCCGGGUUCUAAGUAGUAGUGCCGCAGGUAACCAACAAUUGAGAGGUUUACCUAUAGCCUUCUGCUUAACACCUUGA